AGAGCGAACGCUGGCGGCAGGCUUAACACAUGCAAGUCGAGCGGGCGUAGCAAUACGUCAGCGGCAGACGGGUGAGUAACGCGUGGGAACGUACCUUUUGGUUCGGAACAACCCAGGGAAACUUGGGCUAAUACCGGAUAAGCCCUUACGGGGAAAGAUUUAUCGCCGAAAGAUCGGCCCGCGUCUGAUUAGCUAGUUGGUGAGGUAAUGGCUCACCAAGGCGACGAUUAGUAGCUGGUCUGAGAGGAUGAUCAGCCACAUUGGGACUGAGACACGGCCCAAACUCCUACGGGAGGCAGCAGUGGGGAAUAUUGGACAAUGGGCGCAAGCCUGAUCCAGCCAUGCCGCGUGAGUGAUGAAGGCCCUAGGGUUGUAAAGCUCUUUUGUGCGGGAAGAUAAUGACGGUACCGCAAGAAUAAGCCCCGGCUAACUUCGCGCCAGCAGCCGC
This 448-nucleotide ribosomal RNA is filed under the name uncultured bacterium. RNAcentral describes it as "SSU rRNA". It matches the Rfam family "Bacterial small subunit ribosomal RNA", at positions 26 to 518 of the family's 1533-position model. The record is from RNAcentral.